AAACUUUCAACAACGGAUCUCUUGGUUCUGGCAUCGAUGAAGAACGCAGCGAAAUGCGAUAAGUAAUGUGAAUUGCAGAAUUCAGUGAAUCAUCGAAUCUUUGAACGCACAUUGCGCCCUCUGGUAUUCCGGGGGGCAUGCCUGUUCGAGCGUCGUUU
Molecule: ribosomal RNA, 158 nt
Filed under: Rubikia evansii
Lineage: Eukaryota; Fungi; Ascomycota; Lecanoromycetes; Ostropales; Graphidaceae
Description: 5.8S ribosomal RNA
Rfam family: 5.8S ribosomal RNA
About the family: 5.8S ribosomal RNA (5.8S rRNA) is a component of the large subunit of the eukaryotic ribosome.
Source: RNAcentral